RNAcentral lists this ribosomal RNA (465 nucleotides) under Vreelandella stevensii. RNAcentral's name for it is "partial 16S ribosomal RNA". It matches the Rfam family "Bacterial small subunit ribosomal RNA", at positions 338 to 795 of the family's 1533-position model. Lineage: Bacteria; Pseudomonadati; Pseudomonadota; Gammaproteobacteria; Oceanospirillales; Halomonadaceae. The record is from RNAcentral.
CCUACGGGGGGCUGCAGUGGGGAAUAUUGGACAAUGGGGGGAACCCUGAUCCAGCCAUGCCGCGUGUGUGAAGAAGGCCCUCGGGUUGUAAAGCACUUUCAGUGAGGAAGAACGCCUGGUGGUUAAUACCCAUCAGGAAAGACAUCACUCACAGAAGAAGCACCGGCUAACUCCGUGCCAGCAGCCGCGGUAACACGGAGGGUGCGAGCGUUAAUCGGAAUUACUGGGCGUAAAGCGCGCGUAGGUGGCUUGAUAAGCCGGUUGUGAAAGCCCCGGGCUCAACCUGGGAACGGCAUCCGGAACUGUCAAGCUAGAGUGCAGGAGAGGAAGGUAGAAUUCCCGGUGUAGCGGUGAAAUGCGUAGAGAUCGGGAGGAAUACCAGUGGCGAAGGCGGCCUUCUGGACUGACACUGACACUGAGGUGCGAAAGCGUGGGUAGCAAACAGGAUUAGAUACCCCUGUAGUC